Molecule: ribosomal RNA, 253 nt
Filed under: uncultured bacterium
Lineage: Bacteria
Description: partial 16S ribosomal RNA
Rfam family: Bacterial small subunit ribosomal RNA
Source: RNAcentral
UACGUAGGGACCAAGCGUUGUUCGGAUUUACUGGGCGUAAAGGGCGCGUAGGCGGCUCGACAAGUCCCGCGUGAAAGCCCCCGGCUCAACUGGGGAACUGCGCGGGAAACUGUCGGACUUGAGUUCGGGAGAGGGAAGCGGAAUUCCGGGUGUAGCGGUGAAAUGCGUAGAUAUCCGGAGGAACACCGGUGGCGAAGGCGGCUUCCUGGACCGACACUGACGCUGAGGCGCGAAAGCUAGGGGAGCAAACGGG